RNAcentral lists this ribosomal RNA (230 nucleotides) under uncultured bacterium. RNAcentral describes it as "partial 16S ribosomal RNA". It matches the Rfam family "Bacterial small subunit ribosomal RNA", at positions 561 to 791 of the family's 1533-position model. The record is from RNAcentral.
UAAAGCGUCCGCAGGCGGCCUUGAAAGUCUGUUGUUAAAGCGUGGAGCUCAACUCCAUUUCAGCAAUGGAAACUACAAGGCUAGAGUGUGGUAGGGGCAGAGGGAAUUCCCGGUGUAGCGGUGAAAUGCGUAGAUAUCGGGAAGAACACCAGUGGCGAAGGCGCUCUGCUGGGCCAUAACUGACGCUCAUGGACGAAAGCCAGGGGAGCGAAAGGGAUUAGAUACCCUGU